Long non-coding RNA from Fukomys damarensis (Damara mole-rat), 648 nucleotides. RefSeq lists it as uncharacterized. NCBI's taxonomy places the organism in Eukaryota, Metazoa, Chordata, Mammalia, Rodentia, Bathyergidae. The record is from RefSeq and is a predicted model, not a curated record. The transcript has 4 exons.
UUGGGGCGUGCCUGGAGGACAGAAAGCGGACGUGGUGGGUUGGGGUCCCGGCAGGCCGCAUGACGUCCCCAUGGGGUACGCGCUUGUGCGGGAAUCUUUGGACCCAACCUAGAGAGCGCCAAGGUCACCUCCGGGACGCUCCCCAGGAACCCCAACACCGCCCCUCCCCCAGAACAAGGGAGGCGGGGGGGGCACCUUUAGGGGGGGAGUUCGGGUGAUGCUGGUGUCAUAAAGGCCAGCUGAUGGCCACAGGGACCAGCACAGUGCGACCUGUCACAGCGUGACAGUCCAGGCAGACACUGGUGUACAGUGACAUGGGUCACUUCCCAGCUCCCCCACUCUCGGGCACCCUAACUUGCACCCCAAAGGCCAGGUGGGCUCCGCAUUCACACUGGACAGUGCAGUGCGGCCGCACUCUUUCCCCUCAUGUGGGAGAAAACGGAUCCCUCAUCUGGCUCCCGGCUUCAGCUUGCUAGAAUUCCUGGAAGAAUACUAAAAAAGGGUCUGAAACGCCCGUGACAGUGACAGCAAGGAACACUGAGUACACGUCAGGGCCUCGCCUAGUCAGAGUUCAUGAGAUCUCUCCAGGGUGGCCGAGGGGGUGAGCACCCCAUCACCGGAGGGAUGCAAGCAGAGUCUGGGUAAACA